UUAGAAUUACUUGAUAAUAGUCACCUACUCUUUUAAAACGCUAUCAAGACAGAAAGCAAGCUAGCUCGCUAAACAUACAGUAGAACUAAUCGGCCAGUUGAUAAACAACUAGCUAAUGGUCUAGCCAAAAGUGAUACACUAGAGAGCCAGCGUUCAUAACAUUACCAAAAUAAGCUAUUUGUACAUGAUAUUUUGUUAUCUGGUGAUAUUUAGUUGAUAACGGCAUCAGUUGAAUGUAUGUAGGAGUAACAACACUAUUCGUAACGUUUGUGUUUCACCAUGUUGUGGUGAAACUCGUCACUCGUUUAUUUCUAGUUACCGUGAGGCAUGUGUAAGUAGCCUACUGAAGUGGACCAAAGCAAAACAGAGCCCCAAAACAGUCCAGGGAAGAAAACUUUAGCCCAAGAUAUGGAUUCCAGCAAAUGUAAAACAAAGCACUUGCACAUUUUUGUUUUUGUUCAGAACAGCUGUGUUUAUAAAAAUAUGAAUUUAUUUAUUUAAUUAUCAAUGUAUUUUCAAAAACAUGUUUUAAAAUGUUGAAAUUCAAUAAAUGAUUUUUUGUUACAAA
Long non-coding RNA from Trichomycterus rosablanca, 568 nucleotides. RefSeq lists it as uncharacterized. The record is from RefSeq and is a predicted model, not a curated record. The transcript has 2 exons. Lineage: Eukaryota; Metazoa; Chordata; Actinopteri; Siluriformes; Trichomycteridae.